AUCAACUUUCGAUGGUAGGAUAGAGGCCUACCAUGGUGGUAACGGGUAACGGGGUGUUAGGGCACGACACCGGAGAGGGAGCCUGAGAAACGGCUACCACAUCCAAGGAUGGCAGCAGGCGCGCAAAUUACCCAAUCCCGACACGGGGAGGUAGUGACAAUAAAUAACAAUACGGGGUUCUUUCGGAUUUCGUAAUUGGAAUGAGUACAAUUUAAAUCUCUUAACGAGGAACAAUUGGAGGGCAAGUCUGGUGCCAGCAGCCGCGGUAAUUCCAGCUCCAAUAGCGUAUAUUAAAGUUGCUGCAGUUAAAAAGCUCGUAGUUGAAUUUCGGGACUAAUAUGUCGGUCGUGCCUCGGUACGUACUGGUAUUUUUGGUUUCUCCCUUCUGAUGAACCUUGAUGUCAUUAAUUUGGUGUCUUGGGAAAUCAGGACUGUUACUUUGAAAAAAUUAGAGUGUUUAAAGCAGGCUCACGCUUGAAUACAUUAGCAUGGGAUAAUGAAAUAGGACGUUUGAUUCUAUUUUGUUGGUUUCUAGGAUCGACGUAAUGAUUAAUAGGGAUAGUUGGGGGCAUUAGUAUUCAAUUGUCAGAGGUGAAAUUCUUGGAUUUAUUGAAGACUAACUACUGCGAAAGCAUUUGCCAAGGAUGUUUUCAUUAAUCAAGAACGAAAGUUAGGGGAUCGAAGACGAUCAGAUACCGUCGUAGUCUUAACCAUAAACUAUGCCGACUAGGGAUCGGAUGAUGUUAUUUUUAAUGACUCAUUCGGCGCCUUACGGGAAACCAAAGUGUUUGGGUUC
This 796-nucleotide ribosomal RNA is filed under the name uncultured Glomeromycotina. RNAcentral describes it as "SSU rRNA". It matches the Rfam family "Eukaryotic small subunit ribosomal RNA", at positions 314 to 1114 of the family's 1831-position model. The record is from RNAcentral. Lineage: Eukaryota; Fungi; Glomeromycota.